CAAUAGCGUAUAUUAAAGUUGUUGCGGUUAAAAGCUCGUAGUUGGAUUUCUGCUGAGGACGACCGGUCCGCCCUCCGGGUGAGCAUCUGGUUCGGCCUUGGCAUCUUCUUGGUGAACGUAUCUGCACUUGACUGUGUGGUGCGGUACCCAGGACUUUUACUUUGAGGAAAUUAGAGUGUUCAUGGCAGGCUAACGCCCUGAAUACACAAGCAUGGAAUAAUAGAAUAGGACUGGGUCCAUUUUGUUGGUUAUUGGACGCAGUGAUGAUUAAUAGGGACAGUUGGGGGCAUUAGUAUUUAAUUGUCAGAGGUGAAAUUCUUGGAUUUAUUAAAGACUGACUUAUGCGAAAGCAUUUGCCAAGGAUGUUUUCAUUGAUCAAGAACGAAAGUUAGGGGAUCAAAGACGAUUAGAUACCGU
RNAcentral lists this ribosomal RNA (417 nucleotides) under uncultured eukaryote. Its description in RNAcentral is "bacterial SSU rRNA". It matches the Rfam family "Eukaryotic small subunit ribosomal RNA", at positions 592 to 1018 of the family's 1831-position model. The record is from RNAcentral.